RNAcentral lists this ribosomal RNA (727 nucleotides) under uncultured Staphylococcus sp. RNAcentral describes it as "bacterial SSU rRNA". It matches the Rfam family "Bacterial small subunit ribosomal RNA", at positions 59 to 768 of the family's 1533-position model. Lineage: Bacteria; Bacillati; Bacillota; Bacilli; Caryophanales; Staphylococcaceae. The record is from RNAcentral.
AAGUCGAGCGAACGGACGAGAAGCUUGCUUCUCUGAUGUUAGCGGCGGAUGGGUGAGUAACACGUGGAUAACCUACCUAUAAGACUGGGAUAACUUCGGGAAACCGGAGCUAAUACCGGAUAAUAUUUUGAACCGCAUGGUUCAAAAGUGAAAGACGGUCUUGCUGUCACUUAUAGAUGGAUCCGCGCUGCAUUAGCUAGUUGGUAAGGUACCGGCUUACCAAGGCAACGAUGCAUAGCCGACCUGAGAGGGUGAUCGGCCACACUGGAACUGAGGCACGGUCCAGACUCCUACGGGAGGCAGCAGUAGGGAAUCUUCCGCAAUGGGCGAAAGCCUGACGGAGCAACGCCGCGUGAGUGAUGAAGGUCUUCGGAUCGUAAAACUCUGUUAUUAGGGAAGAACAUAUGUGUAAGUAACUGUGCACAUCUUGACGGUACCUAAUCAGAAAGCCACGGCUAACUACGUGCCAGCAGCCGCGGUAAUACGUAGGUGGCAAGCGUUAUCCGGAAUUAUUGGGCGUAAAGCGCGCGUAGGCGGUUUUUUAAGUCUGAUGUGAAAGCCCACGGCUCAACCGUGGAGGGUCAUUGGAAACUGGAAAACUUGAGUGCAGAAGAGGAAAGUGGAAUUCCAUGUGUAGCGGUGAAAUGCGCAGAGAUAUGGAGGAACACCAGUGGCGAAGGCGACUUUCUGGUCUGUAACUGACGCUGAUGUGCGAAAGCGUGGGGAU